RNAcentral lists this ribosomal RNA (252 nucleotides) under Triticum aestivum (bread wheat). Its description in RNAcentral is "partial small subunit ribosomal RNA". Lineage: Eukaryota; Viridiplantae; Streptophyta; Magnoliopsida; Poales; Poaceae. The record is from RNAcentral.
AUGUCGGCGUACGACGAGGUGGAGAUCGAGGACAUGGAGUGGAGCGAGGAGCUGGGGGCGUACACGUACCCGUGCCCCUGCGGCGACCUCUUCCAGAUCACGCUCGCCGACCUCCGCCUCGGGGAGGAGAUCGCGCGCUGCCCCUCCUGCUCGCUCUUCCUCACCGUCGUCUACAACGAGGAGGACUUCGCCGACGCCAAGGAGCCCCCGCAGAAGCCGCCGGCGGCCCCGCAGCCCGUCGCCGUCGCCUGA